RNAcentral lists this ribosomal RNA (717 nucleotides) under uncultured bacterium. Its description in RNAcentral is "bacterial SSU rRNA". It matches the Rfam family "Bacterial small subunit ribosomal RNA", at positions 102 to 806 of the family's 1533-position model. The record is from RNAcentral.
ACGGGUGAGUAACACGUGGGUAACCUGCCCAUCAGAAGGGGAUAACACUUGGAAACAGGUGCUAAUACCGUAUAACACUAUUUUCCGCAUGGAAGAAAGUUGAAAGGCGCUUUUGCGUCACUGAUGGAUGGACCCGCGGUGCAUUAGCUAGUUGGUGAGGUAACGGCUCACCAAGGCCACGAUGCAUAGCCGACCUGAGAGGGUGAUCGGCCACACUGGGACUGAGACACGGCCCAGACUCCUACGGGAGGCAGCAGUAGGGAAUCUUCGGCAAUGGACGAAAGUCUGACCGAGCAACGCCGCGUGAGUGAAGAAGGUUUUCGGAUCGUAAAACUCUGUUGUUAGAGAAGAACAAGGAUGAGAGUAAAAUGUUCAUCCCUUGACGGUAUCUAACCAGAAAGCCACGGCUAACUACGUGCCAGCAGCCGCGGUAAUACGUAGGUGGCAAGCGUUGUCCGGAUUUAUUGGGCGUAAAGCGAGCGCAGGCGGUUUCUUAAGUCUGAUGUGAAAGCCCCCGGCUCAACCGGGGAGGGUCAUCGGAAACUGGGAGACUUGAGUGCAGAAGAGGAGAGUGGAAUUCCAUGUGUAGCGGUGAAAUGCGUAGAUAUAUGGAGGAACACCAGUGGCGAAGGCGGCUCUCUGGUCUGUAACUGACGCUGAGGCUCGAAAGCGUGGGGAGCGAACAGGAUUAGAUACCCUGGUAGUCCACGCCGUAAA